This is a non-coding RNA of Dryococelus australis, 72 nucleotides long. NCBI's taxonomy places the organism in Eukaryota, Metazoa, Arthropoda, Insecta, Phasmatodea, Phasmatidae. The record is from the annotation of a GenBank genome assembly.
AGUAGAGUGACGCAGUGGGAGCGUGCCGGGCCAGUAACCCAGAAGUCCGUGGAUCGAGACCACGCUCUGCUA